Molecule: long non-coding RNA, 1509 nt
Organism: Oncorhynchus keta (chum salmon)
Lineage: Eukaryota; Metazoa; Chordata; Actinopteri; Salmoniformes; Salmonidae
Exons: 4
Source: RefSeq, a predicted model, not a curated record
AAAUGGGGCUACGGUGUGCAACGACCAGUGGUGGCCCUCCCAGCUGCAGUUGUUCAAGAGAUAUCCAGUUUGCAGCAGAACAUGCAAUAUUGAGAAGACCCUCAGCAUCAGGCAGACAUGCCCUCACUGUGAGCACUCCUAUGAAUGGCACAGGGAGGACACUUGAAUCAGUAUCUUUGAUUGGCCAGGAGCUGAUCUACGCUGAUAUGACCAUCAAUGGGACGCUGGCAAAGACCUUACCUCCAGCCUCACCUCUUGCCUGCUCACCAACGGUCGUCAAUGGAGAGAACAGACUUAGAUGAGUCUAUGGAGCCAGGACAUGGAGACUUGUAAGAUGAUGUCCUGACCAGCAGACAGGCUUGAUAUUGAUGUCUUUAAAUGGAGAGAGACCUGGCACUCAACAUAACAUUUUUACUAGACACAUCUUUCACUUGUAUUGUCUUUUUAAAAUGAUUUAAUUGAAUGGUAUCAGUCAAUAUGGGGAAGAAGAAACCCUGUGUAUUCUGGACAAGGAUCAGGGAAGUCCUGUUGUAUACGAGACACCACACAGGAAGGUAUGUCCACUCUGACAUGUUUGCCAAAGUAGCCCCAUUACCACCAAAGAAUAUGCAGAUGGACACAAUAUCUGCAGUACUAGUCAAAAGUUUUGACACACCUACUAAUUCAAGUGUUUUUCUUUAUUUUUAGUAUUUUCUACAUUGUAGAAUAGUAGUGAAGAUGUCAAAACUAUGAAAUAACACGUAUGGAAUCAUGUAGUAAACAAAAAAGUGUUAAACAAAUCCAAAUAUAUUUUAGAUUCUUAAAAUAUAGCCGCCCUUCGCAUUGAUGACAGCUUUGCACACUCUUGGCAUUCUCUCAAGCAGCUUCACCUGGAAUCUUUCCCAAAAGUCUUUAAGGAGUUCCCACGUAUGCUAAGCACUUGUUGACUGGUCUAAUGUCCAUUGCUCGUGUUUCUUAGCCUAAGCAAGUUUCUUCUUAUUGGAGUCCUUUAGUAGUGGUUACUUUGCAGCAAUUCGACUAAGAAGGACUGAUUCAUGCAGUUUCCUCUGAACAGUUGAUGUUGAGAUGUGUUUGUUACUUGAACUCUGUGAAGCAUUUAUUUGGGCUGCAAUUUCUGAGGCUGGUAACUCUAAUGAACUUGUCCUCUACAGCAGAGGUAACUUUCCUGUGGCGGUCCUCAUGAAAGCCAGUUUCAUCAUAUCGCUUGAUUGUUUUUAAAAUUAAAUGAAAUCAAACUUUAUUUGUCACAUGCGCUGAAUACAACAAGUGUAGACUUUACCAUGAAAUGCUUACUUACAAGCCUUUAACCAACAGUGCAGUACAAGAAGAGUUAAGAAAUAUAUUUACCAAAUAGACUAAAAUAAAAAGUAAUUAUAAAAAGUAACACAGUAACGAGGCUAUAUACAGGGGGCACCGGUACCGAGUCAGUGUGCGGAGGUACAGGUUAGUUGAGGUAAUUUGUACAUGUAGGUGGGGGUGAAGUGACUAUGCCUAGAUAAUAAACAGCGA